CCUACGGGGGGCAGCAGUGGGGAAUAUUGCACAAUGGGGGAAACCCUGAUGCAGCGACGCCGCGUGAGUGAAGAAGUAAUUCGUUAUGUAAAGCUCUAUCAGCAGGGAAGAAAAUGACGGUACCUGAGUAAGACUCCCCGGCUAACUCCGUUCCAGCCGCCGCGGUCAUACGUAGGGGGCAAGCGUUAUCCGGAUUUACUGGGUGUAAAGGGAGCGUAGACGGCAGUGCAAGUCUGGAGUGAAAGGCGGGGGCGCAACCCCCGGACUGCUCUGGAAACUGUACGGCUGGAGUGCAGGAGAGGUAAGUGGAAUUCCUAGUGUAGCGGUGAAAUGCGUAGAUAUUAGGAGGAACACCAGUGGCGAAGGCGGCUUACUGGACUGUAACUGACGUUGAGGCUCGAAAGCGUGGGGAGCAAACAGGAUUAGAUACCCCAGUAGUC
This 440-nucleotide ribosomal RNA is filed under the name uncultured bacterium. RNAcentral describes it as "partial 16S ribosomal RNA". It matches the Rfam family "Bacterial small subunit ribosomal RNA", at positions 338 to 795 of the family's 1533-position model. The record is from RNAcentral.